GGGAGUGUAGCUCAGGGGUAGGGCACUUACCUAGCAUGUAUAAGGCACUGAGUUCAAUCCCCAGCACCACCA
RNAcentral lists this transfer RNA (72 nucleotides) under Ictidomys tridecemlineatus (thirteen-lined ground squirrel). RNAcentral describes it as "Spermophilus tridecemlineatus (thirteen-lined ground squirrel) tRNA". It matches the Rfam family "tRNA". From Rfam's summary of the family: Transfer RNA (tRNA) molecules are approximately 80 nucleotides in length. Their secondary structure includes four short double-helical elements and three loops (D, anti-codon, and T loops). Further hydrogen bonds mediate the characteristic L-shaped molecular structure. tRNAs have two regions of fundamental functional importance: the anti-codon, which is responsible for specific mRNA codon recognition, and the 3' end, to which the tRNAs corresponding amino acid is attached (by aminoacyl-tRNA synthetases). tRNAs cope with the degeneracy of the genetic code in two manners: having more than one tRNA (with a specific anti-codon) for a particular amino acid; and 'wobble' base-pairing, i.e. permitting non-standard base-pairing at the 3rd anti-codon position. Lineage: Eukaryota; Metazoa; Chordata; Mammalia; Rodentia; Sciuridae. The record is from Rfam by way of RNAcentral.